AUAAAUCUUCAGGGCAGGGUGAAAACCCCUACCGGUGGAAAAGCCCACGAGCCGUAAGGUAUGAUUCGGUGAAAUUCCGAAGCCGACAGUAUAGUCUGGAUGAAAGAAGAGAACA
Molecule: non-coding RNA, 115 nt
Filed under: Clostridiales bacterium
Lineage: Bacteria; Bacillati; Bacillota; Clostridia; Eubacteriales
Description: FMN sequence
Rfam family: FMN riboswitch aptamer (RFN element)
About the family: The RFN element is a highly conserved domain that is found frequently in the 5'-untranslated regions of prokaryotic mRNAs that encode for flavin mononucleotide (FMN) biosynthesis and transport proteins. This element is a metabolite-dependent riboswitch that directly binds FMN in the absence of proteins.
Source: RNAcentral